Molecule: long non-coding RNA, 2565 nt
Organism: Eriocheir sinensis (Chinese mitten crab)
Lineage: Eukaryota; Metazoa; Arthropoda; Malacostraca; Decapoda; Varunidae
Exons: 4
Source: RefSeq, a predicted model, not a curated record
AUUUUUCCUUCAAGCUGAUGGACAGACAAACGUACUUCAACUCCGUCUAUUUCAGCUUCGAUUCCUUAUUUUUCUCCUUCGAAGUGGUGAACAGACUUUGAGAUCUUAUUUUUUAGCUUCAUUUCCUUAUACCUCAGCUUCGUCAACUCCUAUUUCUCCUUCAAACUGGUGGACAGACAAACUUACUUCAACUCCGUCUAUUUCAGCUUCGAUUCCUUACAUUUCUCCGUCAAAGUGGUGAACAGACUUUGAUUCCUUAUUUUUUCAACUUCAAUUCCUUAUACUUCAGCUUCGUCAACUCCUAUUUUUUCUUCAAACUGAUGGAUAGACAAACUUACUUCAACUCCGUAUAUUUCAGCUUCGAUUCCUUAUUUUUCUCCUUCGAAGUGGUGAACAGACUUUGAGAUCUUAUUUUUUAGCUUCAUUUCCUUAUACUUCAGCUUCGUCAACUCCUAUUUCUCCUUCAAACUGGUGGACAGAUAAACUUACUUCAACUCCUAUUUCGGCUUCAACUCCUUAUGUUUUCACCUUCAGACUUCAACCAACACCAACGCCAUCUAUCGGAAACUGCCCUCAUCAUCUUUUUGUAAUCGUAUGCUCUUUCCUUCUAUUUCAGCUUCAUCUCCUUCUGUUUCUCCUUCAGACUUCAACUACAGUAUUUGAGCUUCAACUCCUUCUAUUCCUCCUCCAGACUAAACCACCGUCUUUAUCCUCUUGUAAUCGCACGUAUGGUCUUUAAAACAUACACGUAAGACCUCCAGUUCAAGACCUUUACUAUUUUUAUAACGUUCAAGUGUCUCGGUCAAGAAAACGAUGAUCUCGGCAACAUUUUUCAACGUUUUCUCCCUCUGUCUCCAACCCGUUUAUCGUGUUCGUCUCAUGAGGGGGAACUGCGUCAUUAGGCUUUUAGUACUUAUGAUUAGUCCAUUGUAAGGUUGGUGGGGGUGAAAAGUGUAUUGAUUGUAUGCUAUUUUUUUUUCAUCAUUUUUGAAGUGGUAGUGAAGAGUGUGAACUUCGUUACGAUACCGAGUCUAUUGUCGACUGCUUGUCAUUUAAUACAUUUACCGACAUACAUCUCUUGCAAAUUUUUCACGUCAUUUCUUCAAUGAACGAACAUUUAUGAAGGGCACUGUUCAUGCCACAGCCCAAAGUAAAAUAACCGUGCGUACCUAAAACGCGGCUGGAUAGCAGAGUCCCCCAUCACCGUAACACAGACUGCAGCGCCAUCUCUUGCAAACCUUACUAAUUGUUUCUUCUAUGGACGAAAAUAUAUGAAGAGUACACAUAACACAGCGUAAAGUAGUAGCGUAGCGUAUAUACCUUAAACGCAGAUGAAUACAAGAGUUCGCCAUCACAAGACAGACUGGGGGCGCCAUCUCUCGCAAAUCUUUCCAACUCAGCGACUCGCGAAAUGGAAACACAGCAACGCCUCGCCGGCCCACGCGCGACACACGUUCCGGGUCGCUGCCUGGCGCGGCCUCGAGCUCCAUCGGCUGUGUGGGAAACGUGGGUUGAGCGGGAUGCUGGGGCGUGCGUGUGUGUGCUUGUAGGAAGGGAGGCUUGCUGAGGUUAGGUUUGUUAGUGUGUUGUUUGAAGUGGAGUGUAAAGGUCAGCUGGGGGUGGAAAAGGUUAGGUUAGGUUAGGUUGGAUUGAAGUGGAGUGUAAAGGUCAGCUGGGGUUGGAUUAGGUUAGGUUGAAGUGGAGUGUAAAGGUCAGUUGGGGGCUGGAAAAGGUUAGGUUGGAUUGAAGUGGAGUGUAAAGGUCAGCUGGGGUUGGAUUAGGUUAGGUUGAAGUGGAGUGUAAAGGUCAGUUGGGGGUUGGAAAAGGUUAGGUUAGGUUAGGUUGAAGUGGAGUGUAAAGGUCAGUUGGGAUUGUAAAAGGUUUGGUUAGGUUAGUUUGAAGAUGGAGUUUGUAAAGGUCAGUUGAGAUUGGAGAAGGUUAUGUUAGGUUAGUUUGAAGUUGGAGUUUGUAAAGGUCAGUUGGGCCUGAAAGAGGUUAGGUUAGGUUAGUUUGAAGUUGGAGUUUGUAAAGAUCAAUUGAGAUUGGAAAAGGUUAUGUUUGGUUAGUUUGAGGUUGCAGUUUGGAAAGGUCACCUGGGGUUGGAAAAGGUUAGGUUAGUUUGGAGUUGGAGUUUGUAAAGGUCAAUUGGGCAUGGAAAAGGUUAGGUUAGUUUGGAGUUGAAGUUUGGAAAGGUCAUUUUGGGUUAGAAAAGGUUAGGUUAGAUUAGUUUGGAGUUGGAGUUUGGAAAGGUCAGCUGGGGUUGGAAAAGGUUGGGUAGGUUAGGUUAUUGUUAGGUAAGGUCAGCGUUAGUUUGUAGGGUAAGUGGAGUUGAAGUGGGUUUGAAGCGAAGUUUUGAGUGGACUGCUUUUCAUUAAUAUGUGUGUGUGUGUGUGUGUGUGUGUGUGUGUGUGUGUGUGUGUGUGUGUGUGUGUGUGUGUGUGUGUGUGAUUAGCUACUUUAACUAACCUUUAUUAAAGUUAGUAAAUAUAUUUAGGCUUGUUUACCGAACGUGUGUGUGUGUGUGUGUGUGUGUGUGUGUGUGUGUGUGUGUGUGUGUGUGUGUGU